Molecule: long non-coding RNA, 331 nt
Filed under: Ananas comosus (pineapple)
Lineage: Eukaryota; Viridiplantae; Streptophyta; Magnoliopsida; Poales; Bromeliaceae
Description: long non-coding RNA (ACOM_LNC043752)
Source: RNAcentral
UGAUGUUGAGGCCGAACCUACUGGGAACUUUGUUGUAGUUCUCACCCCACUAUUUCCACAGAGCCGGGACCGAGCGAGCCGGCGAGCGACCGAGGUAAAGGUAUCGCGUCUUAGUCAGAGGCCACCAGAGUUGGGUUUACAUUUUGUAGUAGUUACCCUUUAUCAUCUUUUGUACUUGAUGGUUAGUGAUGUAAAGAAAAGAAUGUAAUGUGUAUUUUGAGGUAAAUGGAUGUAAGAAAGAAAUGAUGAAAUGAAAUGUAAGGAAUUCGAAAAUGUACAAGAUGAAUGCAAUGUAUAUGAUAAAAAAUGAAUCAUAGUACAAGUGAAUGUU